RNAcentral lists this ribosomal RNA (458 nucleotides) under uncultured bacterium. Its description in RNAcentral is "partial 16S ribosomal RNA". It matches the Rfam family "Bacterial small subunit ribosomal RNA", at positions 338 to 795 of the family's 1533-position model. The record is from RNAcentral.
CCUACGGGUGGCAGCAGUGGGGAAUAUUGCACAAUGGGGGAAACCCUGAUGCAGCGACGCCGCGUGAGUGAAGAAGCGUUUCGGCGCGUAAAGCUCUGUCAGCGGGGAAGAAACACGGUUCGCGAGAGCCGCGGACGGUACCCGACCAAGAAGCACCGGCUAACUCCGUGCCAGCAGCCGCGGUAAUACGGGGGGUGCAAGCGUUGUCCGGAAUCAUUGGGCGUAAAGAGUUCGUAGGCGGCACGUAAAGUCUGGUGUUAAAGGCAGAGGCUCAACUUCUGUACGGCACUGGAUACUUGCGAGCUAGAAUGCGGUAGAGGUAAAGGGAAUUCCUGGUGUAGCGGUGAAAUGCUUAGAUAUCAGGAGGAACAUCGGUGGCGUAAGCGCUUUACUGGGCCGUAAUUGACGCUGAGGAACGAAAGCCAGGGUAGCAAAUGGGAUUAGAUACCCCUGUAGUC